This is a small nucleolar RNA of Eublepharis macularius, 126 nucleotides long. The record is from RefSeq and is a predicted model, not a curated record. Lineage: Eukaryota; Metazoa; Chordata; Lepidosauria; Squamata; Eublepharidae.
UUGCAAACUUAAUCACCAGCUCUGCAUGGUACAGCAGAAGGAAGGGGAAGCGGUUUGUUAAACUAAAUGUGGUAAUAAACCAACACUGAGCUUACAAAUAAUGGUACUAAGUGUUUUCAUUCAGUC